Long non-coding RNA from Aedes aegypti (yellow fever mosquito), 609 nucleotides. RefSeq lists it as uncharacterized. NCBI's taxonomy places the organism in Eukaryota, Metazoa, Arthropoda, Insecta, Diptera, Culicidae. The transcript is spliced from 3 exons. The record is from RefSeq and is a predicted model, not a curated record.
UUUUUUUGUUGUCACGGUUUUGAUCGUUCUCAAGAAUUUUCAAUUUGGCCGGCCAAUUUAAAGUUUGGAUAAUGCUGAGCGUAAAACAAAAUUCAAGAAGUAAAAAAGUUGUUCGGUUAACAAAAGGCGUUCGCAAUAUAAAAAUCUAAAGUUCAUUGAGUUAUGGUCGUUGUUGUCCGAAUAUUUUGAAUUGUUUCGCUGAAAAUUUAGUCGGUGUGUUUUGUUCGUUAAUUUACCGGAUGAUGAUUAGAGCAACGGCUGUUGGAGUCCGAGGACACUGGCACGUUACUGGUUCCAGUGGGCAUUUAUGCUCUUUGAAGGAAACAACACACUAGACAACAGACAAGCAUGACAACGGCAUGAACUUUACCUCCAAGUAAAGCAAGAAUCCAGACCACAAACACGCCCUGCUUAAAAGAUGAUAAAUUAACAAAAUUCCUGAAACACCAGAAAUUCAACAAUAGGAAGAUGGCGGUUUGUUUUCAAGAGCUGUGUGGCUUCAGGAUUUUGACGACGGUGUCAUCAAUCAGAUUUAUUGCUUAAAAUAACUCCUUUAAAUGAUUAUCAAUAUUUUUUGUUUUAAUAAAGGCAAAUACUACUGUUCGCAAA